Molecule: unclassified non-coding RNA, 413 nt
Filed under: soil metagenome
Description: partial contains 5.8S ribosomal RNA, internal transcribed spacer 2, and large subunit ribosomal RNA
Rfam family: 5.8S ribosomal RNA (bases 1-120)
Source: RNAcentral
GAUGAAGAACGCAGCGAAAUGCGAUAAGUAAUGUGAAUUGCAGAAUUCAGUGAAUCAUCGAAUCUUUGAACGCACCUUGCGCUCUUUGGUAUUCCGAAGAGCAUGCCUGUUUGAGUGUCAUGAAAAUAUCAACCUUGACUUGGGCUUUGUGCUCUAGUCUCGGCUUGGAAUUGGGUGCUUGCCGCUUUUACGAGCGGCUCACCUUAAAUGUAUUAGCUGGAUCUGUCUUUGAGACUUGGUUUGACUUGGCGUAAUAAGUAUUUCGCUAAGGACAUUCUUCGGAGUGGCCUCGUUUCUAGGACGCUUGUCCGCUUUCCAAUACAAGUUCCACCUCGUGGACAUGACUUUUUAUUAUCUGGCCUCAAAUCAGGUAGGACUACCCGCUGAACUUAAGCAUAUCAAUAAGCGGAGGA